GUGAGGAAUUUUCCGCAAUGGGCGAAAGCCUGACGGAGCAACGCCGCGUGAAGGAUGAAGGCCUAUGGGUUGUAAACUUCUUUUCUCAGAAAAGAAUUAUGACGGUAUCUGAGGAAUAAGCAUCGGCUAACUCUGUGCCAGCAGCCGCGGUAAGACAGAGGAUGCAAGCGUUAUCCGGAAUGAUUGGGCGUAAAGCGUCUGUAGGUUGUUUAAAAAGUAUUCUGUCAAAGAUUAGGGCUUAACCCUAGAUAGGCAGAAUAAACUUUUAAGCUAGAGUUUGGUAGAGGCAGAGGGAAUUCCCGGUGGAGCGGUGAAAUGCGUAGAUAUCGGGAGGAACACCAAAGGCGAAGGCACUCUGCUGGGCCAAUACUAACACUGAGAGACGAAAGCGAGGGGAGCAAAUGGGAUUAGAAACCCGAGUAGUCC
Molecule: ribosomal RNA, 426 nt
Filed under: uncultured bacterium
Lineage: Bacteria
Description: partial 16S ribosomal RNA
Rfam family: Bacterial small subunit ribosomal RNA
Source: RNAcentral